UACGGGGGGGGCAAGCGUUGUUCGGAAUUACUGGGCGUAAAGGGCUUGUAGGUGGCCAACUAAGUCAGACGUGAAAUCCCUCGGCUUAACCGGGGAACUGCGUCUGAUACUGGAUGGCUUGAGUGUGGGAGAGGGAUGCGGAAUUCCAGGUGUAGCGGUGAAAUGCGUAGAUAUCUGGAGGAACACCGGUGGCGAAGGCGGCAUCCUGGACCAAUACUGACGCUGAGGAGCGAAAGCUAGGGGAGCAAACGGG
RNAcentral lists this ribosomal RNA (253 nucleotides) under uncultured bacterium. RNAcentral describes it as "partial 16S ribosomal RNA". It matches the Rfam family "Bacterial small subunit ribosomal RNA", at positions 524 to 776 of the family's 1533-position model. The record is from RNAcentral.